UACGUAGGUGGCGAGCGUUGUCCGGAUUUACUGGGCGUAAAGGGAGCGUAGGCGGACUUUUAAGUGAGAUGUGAAAUACCCGAGCUCAACUUGGGUGCUGCAUUUCAAACUGGAAGUCUAGAGUGCAGGAGAGGAGAAUGGAAUUCCUAGUGUAGCGGUGAAAUGCGUAGAGAUUAGGAAGAACACCAGUGGCGAAGGCGAUUCUCUGGACUGUAACUGACGCUGAGGCUCGAAAGCGUGGGGGAGCAAACAGG
Molecule: ribosomal RNA, 254 nt
Filed under: uncultured bacterium
Lineage: Bacteria
Description: partial 16S ribosomal RNA
Rfam family: Bacterial small subunit ribosomal RNA
Source: RNAcentral